Molecule: long non-coding RNA, 719 nt
Organism: Ictalurus furcatus (blue catfish)
Lineage: Eukaryota; Metazoa; Chordata; Actinopteri; Siluriformes; Ictaluridae
Exons: 5
Source: RefSeq, a predicted model, not a curated record
UGUCUCAGCCCGCCGUGUGUCGCCGCUGUUAGGAAUAACGUUAUUCCUGAGCAACCAGAGCCGCAGGAGCCACGCAUUGGGCAGGGCACUGAAAAACCGUUUAACUGCUACACAAUAAAAAAAAAAAACGCCUGUGCAGAAUAGAAAAGGGGCGGUGCUAGACAGCUUGCUGCUGACAUCAGUCUCUCAGCUGUCCUCCAAAAUCCGCCAGUCUGUGGACAAAACAGCAGGCAAAAUCAAGAUUUUGUUCAAGGACAAGGACAGGAACUGGGACGACAUUGAGAGCAAACUGAGCUCAGAGAGUGAUAUACCACUUCUCAAAACCACUAACAAGGAAAUCUCAACAAUUCUAACAGAGCUGAAGAGGGUGGAAAAGCAAAUCCAAGCCAUAAAUAUCAUGGUAGACCCGGAUGGAACCCUCGAUGCUCCUAACAGAUUAACCCUGGUGAGUCCGAUCAAACCCAAACCCAAGGCCAGCAAAACAGCCUCCAAACCAGCUCUGGACUGAGCCAUCCACAAGCCAGUGGAGAGGUGCCAUUACUAACAAGUGAAGGACAGGAACCCUCAGAAUUGAGCAAACUGGAUCUCUAAUAAACCUUGAAUGUUUUGCAGCACAUUUUUUUUAGCUGGUGUUUCAGUUUUGUUAUGGAAUCUUUUCAGUGCUCUCAAUAAAAAAUUUUUUUAAAAAAUAAAAUAAAAUUUACGUACGUUAGUCAGUU